AGAGUUUGAUCAUGGCUCAGAUUGAACGCUGGCGGCAUGCUUUACACAUGCAAGUCGAACGCGAAAGCGGGGCAACCCGCAAGUAGAGUGGCGAACGGGUGAGUAAUACAUCGGAACGCGCCCUUUAGUGGGGGACAACGCCGAGAAAUCGGCGCUAAUACCGCAUACGCCCGAAAGGGGAAAGCGGGGGACCGCAAGGCCUCGCGCUGUUGGAGCGGCCGAUGUCCGAUUAGCUAGUUGGUGGGGUAAAGGCUCACCAAGGCGACGAUCGGUAGCUGGUCUGAGAGGAUGAUCAGCCACACUGGGACUGAGACACGGCCCAGACUCCUACGGGAGGCAGCAGUGGGGAAUUUUGGACAAUGGGGGCAACCCUGAUCCAGCCAUGCCGCGUGAGUGAAGAAGGCCUUCGGGUUGUAAAGCUCUUUCGGCCGGAACGAAAUCGCGCGGGCGAACAAUCCGCGUGGAUGACGGUACCGGAAUAAGAAGCACCGGCUAACUACGUGCCAGCAGCCGCGGUAAUACGUAGGGUGCAAGCGUUAAUCGGAAUUACUGGGCGUAAAGCGUGCGCAGGCGGUCGCGUAAGCCAGAUGUGAAAGCCCCGGGCUUAACCUGGGAAUUGCAUUUGGUACUGCGUGGCUAGAGUGCGGCAGAGGGAGGUGGAAUUCCUGGUGUAGCAGUGAAAUGCGUAGAUAUCAGGAGGAACACCGAUGGCGAAGGCAGCCUCCUGGGCCAGCACUGACGCUCAUGCACGAAAGCGUGGGGAGCAAACAGGAUUAGAUACCCUAGUAGUCC
Molecule: ribosomal RNA, 792 nt
Filed under: uncultured bacterium
Lineage: Bacteria
Description: bacterial SSU rRNA
Rfam family: Bacterial small subunit ribosomal RNA
Source: RNAcentral